Diceros bicornis minor is the source of this 553-nucleotide long non-coding RNA. RefSeq lists it as uncharacterized. NCBI's taxonomy places the organism in Eukaryota, Metazoa, Chordata, Mammalia, Perissodactyla, Rhinocerotidae. The record is from RefSeq and is a predicted model, not a curated record. The transcript has 3 exons.
GCUCCACCUACGGAGGUGGAGUCCUGGAUUUGACUUCUCAUUCUGCUACUUGCUGAGUGCCUUGGGCAAGUCCCUGAAAUGGGAAAAAAAACUCUGGGUGUGUUACCUCCCGGAGCUGUCAAGAAAACAGAGGAAGAGGGAGUCGUGGGGGAGGUGCUGGCACUUGACCUUUUCCUUCUGGCCCUUUCGUCCCCAGGCCCACACGGCGCACGGAGUAGGCAUCUGAUCCACAGGCCUCGUUCGUCUGUUCAACCCGUCUUCAGCGACUGCUCCUACGUGCCAGGCAUUGUUCUAAGUGCUUGGGACACAUCGUGAGCAAAAACGAUGAAGAUUUACAUGACGCAGCAGUGACUGACAUACUAGAUUAGAAGAACACAGCGCUUAGCAAGAUGUGGAUAAAGUUGCUUGCUGCUUCUUUACGCCCGGUUUUCCCAAUCACCUUGAGAGACGUCCUUGAUGCUAGACCGGGCCCGGAAGCAAAUUUGUAUUCAUCUUCAGCUGACUGCAGCCAUACCCUCUGUGAGAACAAGCCAGCGUCUGUCUUGCACCCCCC